CCUUAUGUUAAUUGGAAGGCCAAUCUAUAUUUCCUAUCGGCCCAUUUGGUGACGUGCUCUCCUCGUUCGUGUAUAGUCACAUUCAUAUCAAUCUCUAUGUCUUGUUCAUCAGUUAAUCGGAAUCGUGUUUCGAAAAUGGAAGACAAAUCUUUAGUACAGGCAAAAUUUUAAUUUUUUCCCAUUUUGCCACAGUUUUCGAACCGAGCAAAACCUAAAAUUGGAAUUAAUUAGGAUUGAAAGUCAAAACAAGUAAAACCCACAAAUUGGAAUUCCACAAAUUGGAAAAGAUCGAAAGUAUAGAUAUAAUAGAGAUGUAUAGAUACAGAGGUGCCGAUAUAGGGGGGGAGAGAGAGAGAGAGAGAGAGAGAGAGAGAGAGAGAAAUGUUGACAUGUUUGUAGAGAGAGAGAGACAGAAGAUGUAGG
This 423-nucleotide long non-coding RNA is filed under the name Olea europaea subsp. europaea. Lineage: Eukaryota; Viridiplantae; Streptophyta; Magnoliopsida; Lamiales; Oleaceae. The record is from RNAcentral.